RNAcentral lists this ribosomal RNA (253 nucleotides) under uncultured bacterium. RNAcentral's name for it is "partial 16S ribosomal RNA". It matches the Rfam family "Bacterial small subunit ribosomal RNA", at positions 524 to 776 of the family's 1533-position model. The record is from RNAcentral.
UACGGGGGGGGCAAGCGUUGUUCGGAAUUACUGGGCGUAAAGGGCUCGUAGGCGGCCAACUAAGUCAGACGUGAAAUCCCCAGGCUUAACCUGGGAACUGCGUCUGAUACUGGAUGGCUUGAAUUCGGGAGAGGGAUGCAGAAUUCCAGGUGUAGCGGUGAAAUGCGUAGAUAUCUGGAGGAACACCGGUGGCGAAGGCGGCAUCCUGGACCAACACUGACACUGAGGAGCGAAAGCCAGGGGAGCAAACGGG